Molecule: non-coding RNA, 4685 nt
Organism: Anas platyrhynchos (mallard)
Lineage: Eukaryota; Metazoa; Chordata; Aves; Anseriformes; Anatidae
Source: RefSeq, a predicted model, not a curated record
UCACUACACCUCGAGAAGACACUGGGCAGUGUGCUCAGAUGCUGCUUUGUGGUCGAAUACCUUGCAGGUGUUCAGUUGCUGCCUUUCCUUGUCUCUGGCUUGGCCAAUGUCUUCUGUGACGUGACUCGUUGCAGUUCUGCUGCAGCACUGGAAGUGCCUACUACCCCUUAGUAAAUGGGGAGCUCAGUCUCUCUUACAAAGGCCCAAAUCCACAAACUAUUUAUGUACACAAUUCCAGCUGAUUUUUAUCUCAGUUGCCUGAAUAUCUUUGCAUAUCUGGGCCUAAGUGUUUUGUCUGUGGUCAUGCAGGAAGUCUAUGGUAAGCAGAGAAGUGAAAACACAUCCCAAGUUAAAGCUGUAAUUACAGUGCCAUCCUUCCCUUCGUUAGGAUGUUUUGGGGGGCAGGAGAAGAUCUCCACUUGCUUUGAAAACAGCAAUAUUUUGCUCUGUAUUUUGAUAUUUGGCUUUAAAAUAAAAACCUGUAACGCUGAUGUAAAUGAUGCCUAUUGAUUAUCCUCUCAUAAAAUAGAGAGCUCACUUAAGCAGGCAUUGCCAUGGCUGAAAGCCAACGCUGCAAUUGAUCAUUUAAUUAACCGGAAGAAAAUUAAAGGAACUGUAAUCUGCUGUGUCUCAGCUCUCUUGUUAUCAAGCUGGCAAAGUGCUUAUUUCUGCCUAGAGCAACGAUCAGUUCCUUGACCCUGUGAUUUAGAAACACUGGUUUACACAUCGCCCCUCACCUACCCACCUGGCUUUCUGCAAGGCAGGAUGCGGUGUGACCUGAGCCCUCCUUCACCCCCUUGUGGACCCCAGACACCGCAGUACCUGAGCCUGAAAGAGAAAUGGAUGUUCUCUAAAAGUCGUGUUUUAGAGGUUGGGACUAGAACAUGAGAGCUCUUGAGUUUAUUUUAAUACCAGCAUUUCCUUAAAGGGAUCACGGUAUUUAUUUUCAUGUAGCUACUUCAGAUAAAUGAGAGGACAGUGUGUUUGAGACAGAAAUGGUCCUGAAGAUAUGGCUAUCUCCUGAAGCUUUGCCUUCAACAAACAACCUGAGCGAUCUGUGAACAAAGAGAAAAGAAAAAAAAAAUAAAAGAAAAGAAAAGGAAAAAAAAAAAACAGAUGUAAGAAGCCAUUGUUUUAAUGAUUGUGUUGCCAUAUCAAGUGAAGAGAGACAGCUGCCUCUAACUUGUCUUUGCAUGCCUAAGUAAUAUAUUAAUUACCUCAUUACCCAUAAAUGCCUACAGUCCUGCAAAAGGCAUGUUAUAACAGACGUAGUCAUUAAAGCUUGCGCUGCAUUUUUGAUGUGUUGCGGGAAAACAAACAAACAAACAAAACCUCAAGUCCUUUGUGUUUCAGCUAGAUCCAAGUUGGGGAAAUGUUAAGUAGAAGCACUUAACAAACUGUAUCGUUCGAAAGCGUGUUUUAAUGCCAAAACAGGAAGAAAACAGAAUUUGAAACGGUUCCCAAUGUUUGAUCAGCCUUUUUUUUGCUUUGUGUGAGAAACUUGCGGUCCAGGCUGCAACAUAACAAAGGGCUCGGUAGGAGGGAUGAAAAAGAUCAAAAAGAGGAAAAAGAAACUUCUUUCAAAACGUCGCUGCUGAUCAUAAGGAGCUGCAGGAGUCAGAUAUCUGCAUGAAAUUGAAACCACUUCACCUUCCGAGACGCGUAUUUUCCCUCUGCUCUGGGUUAUAACUCACGCACGGACCCUCGCAGGGUUUGUGCUGCCUCUGCUGGCUGCUGCUCUGGCUUCCCCCGGGUGUUCUCAAGGCAUUUCACUUGCGUUUGUAGUGCCUUCAAAAGGGAAGCUGGGCAAAGAAGAAAGUAAAACUAGCCUGGUAAAAACAGCCGGUGCCCUGCUUGUUUGUGUGAUGACAGACGGUGCCGCGCUGGUCACCGUGGCCUCAUGAGAAAGUUGUGCUCUGGGUGUGGGAGCAGAGGCGAGGAGGAGGAGGAGGAAGUGUCCCAGUGCCACACAGCAGGACAGACGGCCAUGGAGACAGUGCCUGGGGUGUUCAAAGGGACACAGGACCGAGAUGAGGAGCACCAAAUCCAUGGUUUAGGCAGCUCUGCACCCCCCAAAUGCAGGGUGGGGCAAAGCUGUGCCCAAAUCCCUGUUCUGACUGAUCCGGAGUGAGGAUGUAAACCCAACUCCUCCGCAUCCCUGAGUGUCUCUGUAAGCAGGAGUUAAAGGACCAAGGGGAAACAGGUCUCCCCGUGCACUGCAUGAGGAGCUGAACUCCAUGCCUGGCACACCGUGAACUCCCCCGCUCGGCGCGUGGAGAAGGAUUGCAGCAAUGAGAUCUGAAAUCCUUUCUCUGAGUGAUUUGUACAGCAUCCUGCGGGAAGCCUGUAACCGAAGCAUCCAGGACUUCAACCACAAACCCUUCUUUUCUGUAAGGAUAAUUUCAAAAUUCCAUCCUGCUUUUUGUCCACAUCAGGAAAACCACCAUACAAUUUGCAAUAUCUGCCCAGGAGUGUCCUGGGGUUGGCAGGAUGUAGCCAACUGGUGAAACUGCAUGGCUUAGCCUGCCGAGCGCAUGCUUGCCUCAUGCUUUCAUCUGGUGAAUUCCUUUCAUGGGUAGAAAAUCCUUCCCUCAAAUCUAAUUACACUGAAUUGGACAUAGUGCUUUUAUUAUGCUGCAGAAUUUGUUAGCCACAUUGGUGUACUUCUCUGUGCAGAAAUCAAAGUCAGGAGAGUAUUUCCAAAUGUCUGAAUGUGCACUGAGUCAGGCAGGCUUUAUGAGGUGGUCAUAGCUUAAAACAAAUAUAUUGUGCAAAUGUGAACAGAAGAAUAAAUAAGAUCUUGGUACAAGAAGGAAAGGAACUAAAGUUAGAAAAGACCAGUGGAAAUAACAGAUGCCAAGGAGAGACUCUGACUCCCCUUGUGUGCUCCCGUUUCAGACAAUAUUCUGAGUAACAGCAGCAUUAGCCUUUCACUAUCAAUGUUUUGAUUUGAAUUUAAUUCAAAUUUCACUUCACUUUUCUAUUGUGAAAGGAGCUGGCGAUCAGACAUCUCAGAUUCUUGCAUUGUUAAGCACGGUGAGUCAUAGUAACGAGCCUUAGAUCGCUGAUAGCAGUGUGCAGAGGAGCCAAGAGGCUGAGCAGCCUUAGAGACCUUCUGGCACUUCCAUUUCAGGUAGAUGCUCCCACAGGGGCUGUGUGGGCACGGCGUGUUUUGUGGCCAAAUAUUGAUAGAUUGGUAUGUUCCCUUCACUGUAGCACGGUGCUUAUUUAUUGAAUCGAUGAACAUUAGUUCCCUAAAUGUAAUGAGCUGUGCUGCCAAGCGAAGGUCCAGGAAGGGCAGAGCUGCUGGUGGGUUGUCACAGUGGCACCCCAUGCGAGGUGCGUCACCAACUCGAGUGACGUAAAUGGAGGGAGCCUUUGUUGCUCUUUAACACCCCCCAUCGGGAAGUCCAUCCUCAGAAAAUCUAAGUGCUCUUUGGGAGAAAGACGCCUGAGAAAAUUAAAGCCCUGGACUUCUUCCCACUGGAGUCAGCAGAAGUUUUGCCAGUCAAUAUUGAUGAGGGCGUGAUAGGGUCCCGAGAGUUAAUGCAUGCAGUGCCCAUCGUGGUGAUAUUCGGCCCAUCAGCAGAUAGAUCUGAAGCCACAGACGGGAGCAUAUCUCACAUCUUUGCAUUGAUUUGUUCUGCUGCUGAAUCCCUGCCACUGUCCUCACCGAGCCACCUGCUGACUCAUCAGCUCGCCUUCUCUGCAUUUGCCCUAAUUAGUCAUAUGCAAACAGACUUUUAUUCAGGAAGUUCUUUUAACGUAAGUUGGAGUAUGAACUUAGCACAGCAAUAAAGAUCAGGAAAAGUGAGUGUGCUAUACACUAGUAAGGCUCUGUUAUCAGCCACUGGCAAAGCGGAAAAGAAAAUGUAUAUGCAGAGUUUUAGUGACUCAAAAGUUUAAUAAAGGGGAGGAUGGUGGGGAGAAUAUUUGCUUAACGUCCCUCUAGAGAUGCUGUAGCAUGAAAUGUUUAACUGCUGAACAAGUUUCCACUAACAUCAUCCUGAAACACAAUUGGGUUUUGAUGCAGUGUUCUUUAUUAUGGGCUUGGGGAAAGCAUGUUUGGCAUGAGAGAAAUGUGUCUAGUAAGGAGACCACAACACUUAUUCACAGCUCCUCAGCCAGUUCAUGCUGGGAAGUCCGACAUCUUUGAACAAUUAAAUUGAGCAAUGUUAGUAAUUUGUACGCCGAGAUUUUUUCUGCCGUGUCUUCUGCUCAGAGACUGCUAACACAUCUAGGGCUUUGGUGACUCAAUUAUUAAAAAUGAUCAGAACCUAGCAUGAGAGCAUUCAACGAGGAACUGUUUCGAUGCACUGUACAGUGUGUAAAGUUGGAUAAUGGUAAUAAAGGUGUACAAGUGAAUCCUGAAACAUCAAUGCUUAUGGGCACCAAAAUUAAUCAUCAUGCAAAGGAGCGACAGCUAAAGGAUUGAAAAUAAGAGACGGCUGGGUGGGAUCAGGUGAGUUCUGUAGCGUUAGAGCUAGGCAACCCCUGGUCUGGAUUACAUCGGUGCUACUUGGUCUUUAAAAGGAACACAAUCACCUUUGUGUGAGCACUGAGACCGCAGUUGAAGUGCAAAGCAGGCUUUCACUGCCAUGUGGCAGCUCAUCAGGAACCACUUCACCCUCACACCCACAUUAGAGAAGCUGAAACAGUUGCUCAGAGUUGCACCAGCCUCCUCU